AUCGCCUUCCUUACUCUUUUCCUUCCUCUUUUUUGAUUUUGCCUUGUCAAGUCAAACCCACAAGAAAAAAAUCUCUUCAGAACUCAUUGAUGCAUGAUACUAACGAAUACGACUUUCAUGUAAGGUAGCCGUAUGAUAGGAGCAUGGAAUAUGUAUGAAAAACAGGACGACAUUACAUAUUGACAUGUAUGAUGUAUAAAGUGUAAACUAAGCACAAGGUGUUUGAACUAGUUAGAAGCAAUGCUAGAUAGAAACCAUAUGAAACAUGAAACCAAUAUCACUCUGCCAAAUUAAAAGGGUGGCCUCAUAAAUGCAUUUGACCAAAUUAGAAGCAAUACAUGGCAACAUGCUAGAAAUCAUAUGCAAUAUGCAACGAAUAAAGGUGUCUCAUCGUAAGUGAUUGAUGCAGGAUAUAGAAGAGAGGUAGUUUCAUGUAAGAACAUGGUUAACACAUAGAUGUAGUAUGUACCAAAAAUAGGAAGGCAUGUCAAAUUCACAGGUAUAAUGUGUAAACGAAGAAGAUGCAAUCUACCCUAAUUAGAAGCAUUACAAGCUAGACACCGUAUGCAACAUGCACCCACAUAUCACACUGCGAAGUUAGAGCAAGCACCUGCGGUGUUGGUGUAGGGUAAAUGAUGUCUUUAAAUACAAAGCUACAUUCAAUAUCUUCAUUUAGGCUUGCCGUUUCUUGAGAAUCAUGUGGGGAGGAUGAAACUCCACUCUUUAUAAGAGUAGCGCGUCUCAUACUAACCCACGGGCGUGACUGUGUCGCCAUAAGUGAUAGAUGCAGGAUACAC
This 797-nucleotide long non-coding RNA is filed under the name Triticum aestivum (bread wheat). RNAcentral's name for it is "long non-coding RNA (TAES_LNC022357)". The record is from RNAcentral. Lineage: Eukaryota; Viridiplantae; Streptophyta; Magnoliopsida; Poales; Poaceae.